GCAACUUGGUCGCCGUGUUCCGUGCGCGAGAUGUUUGAUAUUUCAUGCGUGCUCCUGGAUAUGGCCUUAACAUACGCUAUGUAAAGCGAAUAUCAAUUUUUGAACCGUCGAAUUCGGAGAUUCGAUACACCUGCAGUUCAAACCAGCGUUUAUCGUAGAAAUUCAAUUAAACCAAAUUAACUAAAGAUAUAUAAUAAAAAGAUUUUAAAAACUACCAAAACCUUAACAUAUACUAUUAAAUAAUGUGUAAUGCAAAACAAAAAAGUUUGGAAGCAAAAAGUAAAAAAUAAAAAAAUUCUUUGCCGAGCGCCAAAAGUCAGCGCUAGGCAAAGAGAGCCUUUGCCGAGCGCAAAAAUUCAGCGCUAGGCAAAGAAAUGCCUUUGCCGAGCGCC
Molecule: long non-coding RNA, 392 nt
Filed under: Sorghum bicolor (sorghum)
Lineage: Eukaryota; Viridiplantae; Streptophyta; Magnoliopsida; Poales; Poaceae
Description: long non-coding RNA (SBIC_LNC009718)
Source: RNAcentral